UGCACCCUGCUGGCUGGGUAGCUCUCAGCUGGGAAUAAUGAGCUGUGCUGAGCUCAUAAAGCCUCCAGCCCCAGGGAUUGUGGUUUAGUUGGAGUUGUGCUGCAUGGUGUUGGGUGAAGUGUGCUGUUUUUACUGAUCUUUGUGUUGGAAGAAAGUAGCACAGAGAUGUGGCUCUCCAAGCUCAUAAGGUACCUAACAACAGGAGCGUGAGAUGUGUGGCAUCUGGUGCUGUUUACCCCAAGCCACCCGCUGCUCCCUGGAGGAAAUGUUUGGUUUUGAAGAAACACUUCUGCAGCAUUGAGUGAAAUGAGUGGGUGAAAACCAUCAGUGACAUGUGAGAGAACAGGCGUUGUGCUGGUGCAAGGUGGAAGCUUACUUCUCUGUCACUUGAUCCUUGGAGGCUGGGAAACAACUUGUGUUGCACAAUGGUUUCUGUGAAGCCUAGGUCACUGAAAGAUGAGGAAGCCCUCUGCUGCAGCAUCUGUAAUCCAGCUUGCUCUUUCUGACUUCUCUUGAGAAGCUUGCUUCCUUAGACAGAAAACAGUAUCUAACGUUCUGCUUAUGUUCCUGGAUACUAGUAUUCUUAUUCUAACAUGGCACAAGUAAUCCAGGAUUGAAAAACAAGCAAAAAGCCAUCACAGGAUAAUGCCCAAGAACACAUGCAUUCAGUAGUAAGCAGGACCACAGGAAUGCUUUAGAAGCAUAACAGCGAAAGAUGCUCUUAUUUAUCUAUUUGUUUUUUCCUGGAGAAAAAAUUUACAAAGCCUAUGCCUUUAUCAAUCAUUUAUUUCUUCUGGAAUAAAACAAGCUCCCAACAAUCUUGCAUCUAUCUAUGAAAGUCCCUGUGCAUGUUCUCCAGCCAGGAUUUACAGUCCCCAGUAGAUUCCCAGCACCAGCGUACUGUUCCUUAAAUGAAUCUUUAAGGGCUCAUUUCCUUAGUUAUAUUCUCAUUUUAUUUAAUUACACUUCCUGAGGAGAUGUCAUUCUAUUUUAUGUUUAAGGCUGCUGUAUGCAUGUGAAACAAGUGGUAGACAGAACUGGUAAAAAUCGAUUGUGUGAAGCUUUUUCUGACUGAGAUGAAGCUUUGACUGUAUCAUCAUCAUAUCUGGAAAACACACUUCUCCAACAGUGUUUUAUUUGUUUUGGUUUGAAUUAUUUGGAGCUGUCAGAAAAAAAAAAAAAAACAGUAGGAGAAAAGAAAAUUCUUAUCUUUGUUGGAAGUAAUGCCUUCGUUUAUUUUAGGCUAUACUGUCUACAAAAUUUCCUGAGGUUUCUUCUGAAAUCAAGAUCUCAGAUCUUUGAGGAGCAUUACAUCUAGUUCCCCAGGGUCCAGGAUUCUGUCUGAAUGGGAGUUCAGUGUCAGAAGGGGGGUAAGGGAAAGCAGAAGGUGUUCUCGGUAUUUCUGAAAUGCCUAAUUUUUCUUCUUGUGACUGUUCUUUCUAUUUCUGUAAGGCUGUAGCUUAGCCCUCCUUGUGUUAAUUACAAGUGUCACUGCUUCCCUGGUUUCUGAAGUGCAUCUCAGCAGGGAUACAAGGCCAGGGUUUGUGCAGUAAACAUGUUAUGCUUUUAUCGUUGUAGCCAGGUCUAGAGAUUGUGUAGUGAUAGUCUGUAUAUCAUCGCUGACGUUACAUGCAAAAGUGGCUGAAAAUCAGAAGUUAAAAAAAAAAA
Meleagris gallopavo (turkey) is the source of this 1668-nucleotide non-coding RNA. NCBI's taxonomy places the organism in Eukaryota, Metazoa, Chordata, Aves, Galliformes, Phasianidae. The record is from RefSeq and is a predicted model, not a curated record.